GCUGUUGUUUGUGUAAUUAUAUUUUGCAUAAUAGCUGCAAGAAUGGUAUCAGUACUUACAGUGAGCGGAAGACAAUUUAUGAAAUCAGAUGCGUACAAAGACACCAUAAUAUAAUUACAAGAUGGGUUUGUAUUUUGUUGAGGUUGAGGUUGACCGAUUGAAGAACGAGUGGAUGAAUUUUGUUACUAGACAAUGGAAUGAUAAGGAGCACGUUCAUAUAUUUAUAGCAAAAGGACAUUACCAAAAAAGUUAACUUUAUAGCUUGGGCUAGAGGCUACAGGGAACAUAAAUAGAAAUCUGUUUAUUAGUUCUUUUGUUCCUAGACCUUGCAAUCCAAAAC
This 340-nucleotide unclassified non-coding RNA is filed under the name Bombus terrestris (buff-tailed bumblebee). RNAcentral's name for it is "misc RNA ENSBTSG00005026594.1". The record is from RNAcentral. Lineage: Eukaryota; Metazoa; Arthropoda; Insecta; Hymenoptera; Apidae.